This 492-nucleotide ribosomal RNA is filed under the name uncultured bacterium. Its description in RNAcentral is "partial 16S ribosomal RNA". It matches the Rfam family "Bacterial small subunit ribosomal RNA", at positions 29 to 507 of the family's 1533-position model. The record is from RNAcentral.
AGUGAACGCUGGCGGUAGGCCUAACACAUGCAAGUCGAACGGCAGCACAGUAAGAGCUUGCUCUUACGGGUGGCGAGUGGCGGACGGGUGAGGAAUACAUCGGAAUCUACUUUUUCGUGGGGGAUAACGUAGGGAAACUUACGCUAAUACCGCAUACGACCUACGGGUGAAAGCAGGGGAUCUUCGGACCUUGCGCGAUUGAAUGAGCCGAUGUCGGAUUAGCUAGUUGGCGGGGUAAAGGCCCACCAAGGCGACGAUCGGUAGCUGGUCUGAGAGGAUGGUCGGCCACACUGGAACUGAGACACGGUCCAGACUCCUACGGGAGGCAGCAGUGGGGAAUAUUGGACAAUGGGCGCAAGCCUGAUCCAGCCAUACCGCGUGGGUGAAGAAGGCCUUCGGGUUGUAAAGCCCUUUUGUUGGGAAAGAAAAGCAGCAGGUUAAUACCCCGCUGUUCUGACGGUACCCAAAGAAUAAGCACCGGCUAACUUCGUG